Molecule: ribosomal RNA, 524 nt
Filed under: Lithobates palustris (pickerel frog)
Lineage: Eukaryota; Metazoa; Chordata; Amphibia; Anura; Ranidae
Description: Rana palustris (pickerel frog) partial 16S ribosomal RNA
Rfam family: Bacterial large subunit ribosomal RNA
Source: RNAcentral
CGCCUCUUGAAAAAAUAUAAGAGGUCCAGCCUGCCCAGUGACUAAGUUCAACGGCCGCGGUACCCUAACCGUGCGAAGGUAGCAUAAUCACUUGUUCUUUAAAUGGGGACUUGUAUCAACGGCACCACGAAGGCUGCACUGUCUCCUUUCUCCAAUCAGUGAAACUGAUCUCCCCGUGAAGAAGCGGGGAUUAAACUAUAAGACGAGAAGACCCCAUGGAGCUUCAAACUCACCAUACAACUCUGUUCCCUACAUCCCCUGAUUCAAGAGAUAUGUAUGUUAGUUUUGGGUUGGGGGGACCUCGGAGUACAACUUAACCUCCUAAACAAAUAGGUUAACACCUUUAUCCACGAGAAACACCUCUAAGAAUUAUUAAACUAAUGUUUUUGAUCCGAUAAUCGAUCAAUGAACCAAGUUACCCUGGGGAUAACAGCGCAAUCUACUUCAAGAGUUCCUAUCGACAAGUAGGUUUACGACCUCGAUGUUGGAUCAGGGUAUCCUAGUGGUGCAACCGCUACUAAUGG